UAAAUGCGAUAAGUAGUGUGAAUUGCAGAAUUCAGUGAAUCAUCGAAUCUUUGAACGCACAUUGCGCCCCUUGGUAUUCCAUGGGGCAUGCCUGUUCGAGCGUCAUUUGUACCCUCAAGCUCUGCUUGGUGUUGGGUGUUUGUCCCCGUCUCCGCGCGUGGACUCGCCCCAAAGUGAUUGGCAGCCGGCGUACUGGUCCCGGAGCGCAGCACAUGUCGCGCAAACGAGUGCCUUGGUACGGCGGCGUCCAUAAGCCCCUCUCUCACGCUCUUGACCUCGGAUCAGGUAGGGAUACCCGCUGAACUUAAGC
This 310-nucleotide unclassified non-coding RNA is filed under the name plant metagenome. RNAcentral describes it as "partial contains 5.8S ribosomal RNA, internal transcribed spacer 2, and large subunit ribosomal RNA". The stretch from base 1 to 105 matches the Rfam family "5.8S ribosomal RNA", at positions 50 to 154 of the family's 154-position model. The record is from RNAcentral.